Molecule: RNA transcript, 1428 nt
Organism: Solea senegalensis (Senegalese sole)
Lineage: Eukaryota; Metazoa; Chordata; Actinopteri; Pleuronectiformes; Soleidae
Gene name: zinc finger protein 34-like
Exons: 2
Source: RefSeq, a predicted model, not a curated record
AGGAAGAUGAGAGCAUAAAUCUGCCUCAGUCUCUUUACACCACUGCAUUUAACGUUAUAAUAUUAAUCAUUACAACAUUAUAUAUUCUCAGGUGGUAGUUGGUAUAAAAUGUUGGAGAACCAGUGGUUUGGAGGGCAGUGAAAUCACAGAAGUGUCCUCGUCAGUGGUGGCCCGUCAAUAGAGGGCGCUCUGGCACCGCCCCACCUGUCUCACAUGAAGAAGAAGAUGAUGAUGAUGGAAAUCACAUGAAAUUUAAAUAACUGAGCUGUACAUUACACAGACGUGAGUACUAUGUGGAACCAGCAUUUAAGUUUAAAUGUGUGUUCUCACUCAUUUACAGCGAGUGAACCAACAUGUGACGUGUUUCCUGUUCCUUUGGGGCACAAAAAUCUUGAGCAUAGACUCUCAUUAUGAGUGGUGCAUGCACACUAGACGACAGGAAAACACCCUCGGCCAAGCGAGAUGACCGGAUAUAAACAUCUCACUCUGUGUGGUGAUAGUGAAGUAAAGCAGAUUAAUGACAAGCAAAAUACUCAACAUUAUUAUGUAAUGCAGGGAUGAGAAUGUAGAUAUAUGAAUCUUUUCCAACAUGUAUUACAUUUUUACAGCACAUAAAACUAAAAAAUGAUAUAUGAUUAUAUUGCAGCAGAAAUUGAAAGGAAUAAUCACUUUUUAAGAUAAAAGUCUUGAUCUGCUUUGCCUUAUGUUCUAUGUAUGGAAGGGAAGGGACUUGCUAUUUUAGGUUUUAAAAAAGCCUCAAACCCAUCUACAUUAUGUUGUGUAAAAUGGAAAACUGAAUUACACACUUGCACACAGUAGGUGGCGGUGUCGGCAUUCCUAAAGAUGGCUGGGAUCUGCCUGUAAAGAAAAAGAUUUAAGGCUUUUGUUUUGAAAACUGAUUUAAAUGCGGAAGUGAAUUAGAUUGCUCUUCCGGGGGUUGCGGAUUGUUAUGAUCGUAUGUUGCGACAUCUGCUAUUUACAUUACGUUAACAUUGCUAACUGUGUCUUUAUUUGUUGAGGAUUCCCGUUUUAAUUACAAUUAAAUGUGUUUAAUUGUAAUUAAAGAAUGUAGCCACAGUCGCGGGCUAGUUUGACCUGUGGGACGCGGAAGUAGAAUUUGGAAACAUAUCCUGAGUUAGCUAAUGUAGCUAACGUUAGCCAUCCACAGACGCUGACCUGAGGACUAGCUUACAGGAUGUCCAAACUGGAGCGUUUGAACGCGCGCGUGGCCCAGCUGCUGACUGAAGCCGUGCAGGAGGUUCUGGAGGUGGUGAAGGAGACGGUGUCAGAGUACCAGGAGAAAACAGCCAGGACACAGAGGGAGAACGAGACUCUGAAGAAACGACUGAUGGAGCUCCAGGGCAAAAUGACAAAGGAGAGCACACGUGCGUACAAGGCAUGGUUUUAGUGCAGCAGUAAACAACAAUU